Oncorhynchus mykiss (rainbow trout) is the source of this 1783-nucleotide non-coding RNA. NCBI's taxonomy places the organism in Eukaryota, Metazoa, Chordata, Actinopteri, Salmoniformes, Salmonidae. The record is from RefSeq and is a predicted model, not a curated record.
CACUAAGCAAGGGCCACCACCAAGCAAGGGCCACCACCAAGAAAGCGGCACCAUGAAGACUAAGGAGCUCUCCAAACAGCUUCUUCUGAGUCCUGUGGAGUCGUCAGGCCUGGAGGACCAGUAGCAGGGGGCUCCUGAGUCCUGUGGAGUCGUCAGGCUUGGAGGACCAGUAGCAGGGGGAUCCUGAGUCCUGUGGAGUCGUCAGGCUUGGAGGACCAGUAGCAGGGGGAUCCUGAGUCCUGUGGAGUCGUCAGGCUUGGAGGACCAGUAGCAGGGGGAUCCUGAGUCCUGUGGAGUCGUCAGGCUUGGAGGACCAGUAGCAGGGGGAUCCUGAGUCCUGUGGAGUCGUCAGGCUUGGAGGACCAGUAGCAGGGGGAUCCUGAGUCCUGUGGAGUCAUCAGGCUUGGAGGACCAGUAGCAGGGGGAUCCUGAGUCCUGUGGAGUCGUCAGGCUUGGAGGACCAGUAGCAGGGGGAUCCUGAGUCCUGUGGAGUCGUCAGGCUUGGAGGACCAGUAGCAGGGGGAUCCUGAGUCCUGUGGAGUCGUCAGGCUUGGAGGACCAGUAGCAGGGGGAUCCUGAGUCCUGUGGAGUCGUCAGGCUUGGAGGACCAGUAGCAGGGGAUCCUUGUUGAACAUGGUCUUUGGCUCUGUGUGUUGGAGAUAAGCCAGAGGGAGCAUGUCAGCUACACUGAUAUACUGUUACUAUUCAUGGACAGAGUUUCACAGUUCACACCCUCAGCUGAUGCACUGUCACAGUGAGGCAAGAGCACUUCCUCUGGCCACCCACACACACACCCACACACACACACACACACACAUACACGCACACGACACUGGUUGGGCUCACACACAUUGACCGUGUUCCAAAGCAUAAAAUAUGUGAUGCAUUGUGGGUAAAUUGUGAAACAGAGCAAAAGACCUAUGAGAAUGUUUGAGUUCACAGACAAGAACUAAGAGAACGUACUAACUAAAAGUAGAUGCUGGUUUUACAUGUUGCAUUUAAAUAUUUUUUCAGUAUAUGUUGUGUUGAACCCUUUCAUCCUUUGUAAUCAGUAUUAUCACUCUCUCUUUCUCAUAUUCUACAUAAGGCUUCUGUGCUGGCUAGUGUGCCCCACGGAAGCAACCAGUCACCACCUUCUACGCGUGGUCGAGCUGCAGACUCAUAUAAGAAUCUAUUGAGCCAAGUAAUUUUUCUCAAUAGCACUGUGGUUAAUGGUUAGCUGCACCAAGCUUUAUUCAAAAUAGCAAUGUGGUUAAAUGGCUAGCUGCUACAAGCUAUUUUUCCAAAUAGCACUGUGGUUAAAUGGCUAGCUGCUACAAGCUAUUUUUCCAAAUAGCACUGUGGUUAAAUGGCUAGCUGCUGCAAGCUAUUUUUCAAAAUAGCACUAUAGUUCUCCAGUCCACAAUAAAGAGUUUUCUACCUCUUUCUACCUCUGAUGGUUUUAAUAACAAUCUGUGGAUCUGCCCUUCCCUCCUAGACUGUCAUUUUACCAGUCCAACAGGCCUGUUGUAGAUUAAACUGUAGGAUGGAGAGAGUUUAUUAGACAGUGUGUCACAGAUUAACGGUACCCACAAAUAAGAGGUCUGCUCUUUGGAUGUGUAACACGUAACAUGUGUUUGUGUGUGAAGUAGUCACGUGCACAUUUCUCUGUGUAGAUCAAAAAAAGUUUGAAAAUGAUCAAUGAGUGGAUAUUCUCACUGCUCUGGAGAAAGUGUUUUUUUUUUUUUUUUUUUACCCCAGUAACCGUUUAUGAUUAAAUAUGGUGCCUUGUUUUUGCCAAAAA